This is an RNA transcript of Cyprinus carpio (common carp), 5105 nucleotides long. It is a transcript of the gene named transmembrane and coiled-coil domains 4, with no coding region annotated. NCBI's taxonomy places the organism in Eukaryota, Metazoa, Chordata, Actinopteri, Cypriniformes, Cyprinidae. The transcript has 15 exons. The record is from RefSeq and is a predicted model, not a curated record.
UUAUUCGUGGAUAGAGGGCGCUGCUGCAUACAAGAACAACUCGAUGCUGAACUUUCAUCUGUCACGACAACAAAGUAUAACUUCUCUGCAUGGAGAGAACAAAUCUGCUUUAACUUGCUGUGAGGAUAAACCAAUGGAAUCAACAAAUAACAACAACGGGGACCCGAAAUUAACUCCAGACCCAGGAGGACAGAAGCAUGAUCAGUCGCCAGCAGAGAAAGUGUUUGGUCGGCAGCUGAGUGAACCGGGGCGCUUUGCGUACGCUGGGUUAUGUGGCGUGUCUUUGGGACAGCUGUUUCAAGGACCUGAGCAAAAACGUUUUCGUGAGACAUAUCUGAAGGGUCUUGUUCAGUGGCUGGAUCUCGAUGAGUCGGUCAUGCCGGUUAUGCAAGCGUUCCUGGCGGGGCUCGGGUUCGAAGGCACUGACACCUUCCUGUCCAUCUUGCAUGCGGAGCCGCUGCUCAGAGCCGGAGCUUUACCCAUCACUCAGGAUCUCGUGUCUUUCUCUGUCAAAGAUGGACAUUAUGAUGCCAGGGCUCGAGUUCUGAUCCGACAUGUCAGCUGUCUCCUGCGUGUGACUCAACAGCAGCUGGAGGAUUUUGAAGAGACUCUCGGAGAGAAAUUGAGAGAGGCAGUAGAGGAGAGCGAAGAAGAGUCAUCAAGAAGACAGAAGAAAGAGAGAGGGCGUAAAUUGCGCCGGUACCUGCUCAUCGGACUUGCCACUGUGGGUGGAGGGACGGUAAUUGGUGUUACAGGAGGGCUGGCGGCUCCUCUGGUGGCUGCCGGGGCAGGAGCGGUGCUGGGAGCGGGUGGAGCCGCUGUGCUGGGGUCAGCCACGGGCAUCGCCAUCAUAGCCUCCUUGUUUGGAGCCGCAGGGGCCGGGCUAACAGGCUAUAAAAUGAACAAGCGUGUCGGCGCUAUAGAGGAGUUUGAGUUUCUUCCGAUGAGUUCUGGAAAGCAUCUUCAUCUCACUAUAGCUGUGACAGGCUGGCUGUGCAGCGGCAAAUACAGUUCGUUUCAGGCUCCCUGGUCCAGUCUAGGAGCGUGUGGCGAGCAGUACUGUCUGAAAUGGGAGUCGCGUUAUUUAUUGGACCUGGGCUCUAUUCUGGAUUCAUUAUGGGAUGGGCUUGUUAGUGUCGUGGCUCAGGAGGCCCUCAAAUACACAGUGCUCUCAGGCAUAGUGACGGCUCUGACAUGGCCUGCCUCUCUGCUGGCUGUGGCCAGUGUGAUCGACAACCCCUGGGGAGUGUGCCUGAGUCGCUCAGCCGAGGUGGGAAAACACCUCGCCCAGGUGCUCCGGAGCCAACAGCAGGGAAAGCGGCCUGUCAGUCUAAUUGGAUUUAGCCUCGGAGCUCGUGUCAUCUACUUUUGCCUAGAAGAGCUCGCUAAUGAUCAAGGAAGUGAAGGUGUGGUGGAGGAUGUGGUGCUGCUGGGGGCCCCUGUGGACGGAUCCGAGAAAGCAUGGCAGCGACUGUCCAAGGUUGUGGCUGGGAAGAUUGUUAAUGGAUAUUGCAGAGGGGAUUGGCUUCUUGGAUUCCUGUAUAGAAGUUCAUCAGUCCAGCUGUCUGUUGCUGGGCUCCAGCCAAUCAAUUCGCAAGAUCGCAAAAUAAUCAAUGUGGAUCUGUCAUCAGUGGUAAAAGGACACCUGGACUAUAUGCGUCAAAUGGACACCAUCCUAGUAGCAGUAGGGGUUCCUACCAGGGAAGAAGCUGGAGCCAUGGGUGGCCAACUACAGCUGGUACAUUUAUCUCAGGAAAAAGCAGGCACUCCAGAAUCAGCUGGUCAGAACAGAGUCAAAGGGGAAGCAUCCAUAGACAUUUCAAACAAUGAUACCUCAGACACCACAGAGGCAAAUGUAGAUAAAUACAAGACACAGACUGUAGACAGGGAACGGUGCGAGAGGAAGGACUCUGAGAAUGGCUGGGAUAUCCCUGAUAUAUCUGAUUUACUGGACUCCAUCGGUGAAUGUGAGGGUGUCACUGGUCCCUGUCAAGGGAACGCACAUUCGCUAUGCACUCUCGGAGUCAAGAAACAUGUUGAACCAUCUCAAGAUCAAGGCAAAAUAGACAGAGAAGAUGAAAGUGAGACAGACUGUGAGCACACGUCCUGGGACUGGGACGACACGAACUGGACUACUGAAUGCACAAACACAACCCACCACUCGCACACUGAAGCGCAGGAGCGGUUAGUCAAUGGCAAACCUGCUGGUUCUGAGCCGAGAGCAAUGAACUCCUAAAAUGUGGGUCGGGUCCAGAUGAUAAACCUCGUUCCAAGAAACUCCUGAGAUUCGCAUUUGCUGCUACCAAGAUUAAGGGUUAGGCGUAGGGUUGCUGUGGGACUCAAAUAAACACAGUGUUUGAAUGUUGCAUGUGAAUCUCACAAGACUUUUAGCAGAAGAAGAGUUACCAUCUAGACACCACCCAGAGUCUGCGGGGAAUUCUCUGCACAUUCUCAACAUGCUGCAUUGUGUCUGUAAUCACGCAGCCUUCACUUGCAUAAGCAGUGGGUACGUAAAUUACCAAUAGACCAAAACAGUUUGAUAAUGCAAGCACUCCAAGUUAGAGGUCUUCUCAUGUCCUAAAAUCCAUACCUUACCUGAAUAUAACUCUAUAGUUUUGCCUGCCUGAUGGAUACAUGUUAUUUCUCAGUUUGGAUUUUAAUUGUGACCGGAUUUGAAAAAUAAACAUGAUUGCUUGAUAAGAAGUAAAUUGAUAGCCUAAUAAAUCAUGGAUUUGACAAUGUUAUUCACCUCAUCUCCCUGCAUGAACACGCAGCGUAAUGAAGUAAGUGGAUAUUCCUGAUCUCAUAUCUAUAAGAUGGAUUUCAAGGUAACAACCUUUCUUCCUUUUCUACGUGCGUUUCUCAAAAAUUUAUUUAACAUGAACACACAUGUUCGCCUUUAGGAUAAUUUAAAAAAUUUGGGUCUUUUUGAGUCAAUUUGGAAAUAGCACAGGAAAUUACCUGAGGCUGCUAAUACCAAACCCGACCCAUGUCCGACACACUCGUAGUAGUUUUGGACCUGAACCCUCUUGAGUCAGAUCUCAGGUUUUUGGAUCCAAGUGGACCUUUGAAGACCUCUACUCAAAGUGGCUUAGUUUGUCGAGAGUUCACAGCAAGUUUUAAGAAGUAUUCGCACACACAUACAUGAAGCAAUACAAUUAUCUAAUAACUCUACUCUAGUUCCUGUCACUUCAAGAAUUGAAUUUCUAUCCCAAUCUUUUCUCUGACUCUGGACUUCUCACCGGAGCUUGCCGCAACACGGAUGGCUCCUGCUGGCUGUAGUCAUUUCCAUCCUGGAUGGCGUGUCUGGGAGAAGGAGGGUGAGAUGGUUCGCCGGGUGAGUGAUGUGGGUAAGCGGGAUGAGUAAGAGCCUCCACCUGUCGUGCCUGUCUUCUGGCCGCCAGCAGGAUCCGGCAGUAGGUGAAACAGAUGGCCGUAGAGGGCAAGAAGAAGGUGAGAAAGGUCGCCACGAGGGCGAAGGGGAGAGUCACCCGCAGGCGGCACUGCGUGGAUGGCGUCCCUGACGUGGAAAGCUGGAAGUACGAAGAGGGAUAGAAGGAACUCAACUGGGAGACUGUGGCAUUGGCCGAAUCGUUCUCGGCAAGGUCUUGGCUGCGACCCAGGCUGUGCCAGUCCAUCUUGAUCGGCAGAAAGGAAGUGAGGGCUGCCAACCCCCAAGCCCCACCCACCAGAAGCAAGGCACGAGGCGGGGUCAUGUGCUGUUUGUAUCGCAACGGAGAGAUGAUGAGGAGGUAGCGGUCCAGACUGAUGACACACAAGUUGAGGAUGGAAGCACUACAGCACAUCACGUCGAAGCACAGCCAGACGGGGCAGAAUCCGGGCGACAGCACCCAGGUCCCAGACAGCACGUUGAGCAUAGCAGGGGGCAUCACGACCAAAGCCACCAUCAAGUCUGACAGGAAGAGGGACACCAGGAAGCAAUUGGAGGUGCAGCGCAGCGACCGAUGUGCAAACACCAAGGCGAUCAGCAAAAUGUUCCCACAAGCUGUCACCAGAAUUAUGAGGGACAGCAUGACUGCGAGAAGCCAGGGACCACUGCCACUAAUGCUCCAGCCAUCACCGAUAGUACCACUGUCAUUGAUGCUCCUGUGAACAUCCGCACCUGAUGCCGCCUCUACUCGAGGGAUAGGUGAGACACUCAUCAUCGGAGAGUUGAAUAGGACUGUACGCUUCCUGUGGUCUCGAUGAAGCGAACACACAUCCAGCGUUUUUCAAAUGCAUUGAGAGAGUGAUGCUGAAUGUGAAACAGUUGAUCUGCGGGUCACCUCGCUGAAAUCUGAUGCGAACCACCUCAAGAUCAAGAUGUCCCAUUUAUAGUAAUCCUUUCCGUCUUUCCUCUGGUGAGGUUGGUGAUUUCACUCCCUCUCUGUGCCUCAGUUUUAUCAGUGCAAGGAUAUUCAGCUGCCAUCACUCCAUUUGUUAACGUGAGAUGAGCAAAGCAAUAAAAUGACACAUUUCCUAGUCACUAGUCUGGCUUCUUCAAUGCUUAGCACCAGUAUGAGCAAUUCUGUGCCUGUCAGAGUAUUUCAAAGCUACGUGUCAUGAUGACACUCUUUAGGGGAGGGCAACUGAGAGGUGGGCUUCGGUACGAGAGAGUGUGAGAGAAAGAGAGGGAGCGUUACAAGUGUAAGACUACCGUAUAGAUAUUUUUAGAUGAGUGAAUUUAAAAAAAAACUUAUCUCAGUCAGCUUCUUGCCGUUAAGGUGGAUUUCUGUUUGCUUUCUAUGCAUUUUUAUGAGCUCAAUGUUCUUUAUUCAGUAAUUGUGUGGCUGUAAUUGAGUAAAAGGGAGCGGACGAGUGCACUAGAGGUAACUGUGUUGGCAUCUUGGCUGUUCCCUGCGCCCUUCUAAUCCCUGUAUCUUCCACUUCAGGGUGCCUGCGGGAUCCGCACUCUGCCGCUGGGCAUAAAGCGUGUCUGAGCAUCGCACUCUUAAUGCACCUUCAUGCACAUUCACAGCCAAUCAUUAUUCAGAGUUCAUUGAGGCAAGCAAUUAGCAUCUAACAAAAGGCUUAUGUAAAUGUGUGAGAUGUAAAAAAAAGUAUGCAAGAUUGUUAACAAAUGAUUAAAAUGGAAUUUUACAAGA